Molecule: ribosomal RNA, 398 nt
Filed under: uncultured bacterium
Lineage: Bacteria
Description: partial 16S ribosomal RNA
Rfam family: Bacterial small subunit ribosomal RNA
Source: RNAcentral
AUACGUAGGGUGCGAGCGUUGUCCGGAAUUACUGGGCGUAAAGAGCUCGUAGGUGGUUUGUCGCGUCGUCUGUGAAAUUCCGGGGCUUAACUCCGGGCGUGCAGGCGAUACGGGCAUAACUUGAGUACUGUAGGGGAGACUGGAAUUCCUGGUGUAGCGGUGAAAUGCGCAGAUAUCAGGAGGAACACCGGUGGCGAAGGCGGGUCUCUGGGCGUGAACUGACGCUGAGGAGCGAAAGCAUGGGUAGCGAACAGGAUUAGAUACCCUGGUAGUCCAUGCCGUAAACGGUGGGCGCUAGGUGUAGGGGUCUUCCACGACUUCUGUGCCGUAGCUAACGCAUUAAGCGCCCCGCCUGGGGAGUACGGCCGCAAGGCUAAAACUCAAAUGAAUUGACGGGG